This is a long non-coding RNA of Morone saxatilis (striped sea-bass), 853 nucleotides long. RefSeq lists it as uncharacterized. The transcript is spliced from 3 exons. The record is from RefSeq and is a predicted model, not a curated record. Lineage: Eukaryota; Metazoa; Chordata; Actinopteri; Moronidae.
CGACCUCUGGACCCUGCAGAGAACCAGAACAACACACCUUUGCGUUCUAGACCCAGUCAGCAGUCAGCAUGCAGGAAACUACUCCUGUGCUGUCAAAACCCACAGCUCAAAUGAAAAGACUCUCACUGUUAAAGGGACAUCAAUGCCACUGAUUAAUGCAAUAAGACUGGCAGUUAUAUUACUGAUCCCAGUUCCACUACUUUUGUUCCACCUGUGGCUGAGGUGGACUCGCAGUGUGAGAACAUCUCAGUGAAUCCUUCAGCACAGAGAGAACCAGCAGACAGUAGGAAGACACUGUGUACCAUCUGGUCAUGUAUCUACGCCGAACACUGUGCACCGUGUGAAAAAAAUGCCUGUCUUUAUCAUUUAGGUAGAAUUUCAAGAAUUUCAUUAUACAACAGCAUAUAUAUUUAGUUGUACGUUUGAAAUCAUAUACUAUGUGAUCCAAGUGAAAACAUGAAUAUAACGUUAUUAAUAUUAGUUUGAUGGAUAUAUUGAGUUUGAUAGUAAGUCAGGACUUUGACUUUGUCAGUUUGUUGUGCAUUUCUUGUUUCCAGAGUGGCUAAAACAUUUAACGCAGCUUAAUUAUUUCAUUGGAAGGUUUGUAGUAAUUUUUACACUGUAAAAUUAAAAGACUAUAAAUAUAAUUUGUACUCAAACUACUAUAAUCAUUAUUAUUGAAAUACAAGUUCAUGGCUGAUCAUUGGUCUUUGUGAUGCUGCACAGAAAUGACCUGUUUUUAUUGAUCUUAUCCAUUGUGUUAACUCACACUACAUGUUUUAAUUGGCCUUUCUGCACAACCAGAACCUGUGAGCUUUAUGCUGACACUACGCUGCCACCCAAAGGCAGAGUG